CACACACACACACACACACACACACACACACACACACACACACACACACACACACCCCUCUGUCAAAUAGGUCCUCUCCUUAUGCGGAUCGUGGUUGCAAAGUUUCAACGUUCAGA
Molecule: long non-coding RNA, 116 nt
Organism: Alosa sapidissima (American shad)
Lineage: Eukaryota; Metazoa; Chordata; Actinopteri; Clupeiformes; Clupeidae
Exons: 2
Source: RefSeq, a predicted model, not a curated record